RNAcentral lists this ribosomal RNA (547 nucleotides) under uncultured bacterium. RNAcentral describes it as "partial 16S ribosomal RNA". It matches the Rfam family "Bacterial small subunit ribosomal RNA", at positions 355 to 893 of the family's 1533-position model. The record is from RNAcentral.
UGGGGAAUUUUGGACAAUGGGCGAAAGCCUGAUCCAGCAAUGCCGCGUGUGUGAAGAAGGCCUUCGGGUUGUAAAGCACUUUUGUCCGGAAAGAAAUCCUUGGCUCUAAUACAGUCGGGGGAUGACGGUACCGGAAGAAUAAGCACCGGCUAACUACGUGCCAGCAGCCGCGGUAAUACGUAGGGUGCAAGCGUUAAUCGGAAUUACUGGGCGUAAAGCGUGCGCAGGCGGUUUGCUAAGACCGAUGUGAAAUCCCCGGGCUCAACCUGGGAAACUGCAUUGGUGACUGGCAGGCUAGAGUAUGGCAGAGGGGGGUAGAAUUCCACGUGUAGCAGUGAAAUGCGUAGAGAUGUGGAGGAAUACCGAUGGCGAAGGCAGCCCCCUGGGCCAAUACUGACGCUCAUGCACGAAAGCGUGGGGAGCAAACAGGAUUAGAUACCCUGGUAGUCCACGCCCUAAAACGAUGUCAACUAGUUGUUGGGGAUUCAUUUCCUUAGUAGCGUAGCUAACGCGUGAAGUUGACCGCCUGGGGAGUACGGUCGCAAGA